GCCCUGGUAGCUCAAUUGGUUAGAGCGUCGGACUUUUACAAGUCAUCUGAUGAGGUAAAAAUCAUCAGGUAUUGUUAAAGUCUAUCCGAAGGCUGCGGGUUCGACCCCCGCCUGGGGCG
Non-coding RNA from Xylaria palmicola, 119 nucleotides. NCBI's taxonomy places the organism in Eukaryota, Fungi, Ascomycota, Sordariomycetes, Xylariales, Xylariaceae. The record is from the annotation of a GenBank genome assembly.